This 71-nucleotide transfer RNA is filed under the name unidentified. RNAcentral describes it as "Acanthogobius stigmothonus tRNA-Asp". It matches the Rfam family "tRNA". From Rfam's summary of the family: Transfer RNA (tRNA) molecules are approximately 80 nucleotides in length. Their secondary structure includes four short double-helical elements and three loops (D, anti-codon, and T loops). Further hydrogen bonds mediate the characteristic L-shaped molecular structure. tRNAs have two regions of fundamental functional importance: the anti-codon, which is responsible for specific mRNA codon recognition, and the 3' end, to which the tRNAs corresponding amino acid is attached (by aminoacyl-tRNA synthetases). tRNAs cope with the degeneracy of the genetic code in two manners: having more than one tRNA (with a specific anti-codon) for a particular amino acid; and 'wobble' base-pairing, i.e. permitting non-standard base-pairing at the 3rd anti-codon position. The record is from RNAcentral.
AAGAUACUAGUAUAGCCGCAAUACACUGCCUUGUCAAGGCAAAAUCGUGGGUUAAACUCCCACGUAUCUUG